UACAGAGGGUGCGAGCGUUAAUCGGAAUUACUGGGCGUAAAGCGCACGUAGUCGGCUUUGCAAGUCGGUUGUGAAAUCCCCGGGCUCAACCUGGGAACUGCAUCCGAGACUGCAUUGCUAGAGUAUGGGAGAGGGAAGCGGAAUUUCUGGUGUAGCAGUGAAAUGCGUAGAUAUCAGAAGGAACAUCAGUGGCGAAGGCGGCUUCCUGGACCAACACUGACACUGAUGAGCGAAAGCCAGGGGAGCAAACGGG
This 253-nucleotide ribosomal RNA is filed under the name uncultured bacterium. Its description in RNAcentral is "partial 16S ribosomal RNA". It matches the Rfam family "Bacterial small subunit ribosomal RNA", at positions 524 to 776 of the family's 1533-position model. The record is from RNAcentral.